Molecule: small nuclear RNA, 100 nt
Organism: Prosopis cineraria
Lineage: Eukaryota; Viridiplantae; Streptophyta; Magnoliopsida; Fabales; Fabaceae
Source: RefSeq, a predicted model, not a curated record
AUCACCGUGUUAAUAGUUGAAGUAGAAACAAUACAGAGAAGAUUAGCAUGGUCACCAUAUAAGGUUGACACACAUAAAUCAAGAAACAAGAAUAUUUGGU